Molecule: long non-coding RNA, 312 nt
Filed under: Homo sapiens (human)
Lineage: Eukaryota; Metazoa; Chordata; Mammalia; Primates; Hominidae
Description: non-protein coding lnc-IKZF1-5:1
Source: RNAcentral
AUCCAGAACAGGCAAAUUAAUAGAGACAGAAAACAGACUAGUUGCUGCCAGGGGCUGAGGGCAGCAGAAAAUGGGAGUGACUGCUUAAUGGGCAUUGGAAUGAACAAGUUCUGGAAAUAGUGGUGAUGGUUGCACAACAUUGUGAAUGUACUUAAUGCCACUGAAUUGUAUACUUUAAAAAGGUUAUGACGGUAAGCUUUAUGUUAUGUGUAUUUUACCACAAUAAAAGAGACAAUAAAUGCUUCAAAGGCAUGAUUUAAAUUAGUUUUACUAGUUCAUUUUAUUUCAGAAAUCGGUGUUUACAUUGUCUAA